This is a non-coding RNA of Brugia malayi, 141 nucleotides long. The record is from RefSeq and is a predicted model, not a curated record. NCBI's taxonomy places the organism in Eukaryota, Metazoa, Nematoda, Chromadorea, Rhabditida, Onchocercidae.
GACUGGGAGAGAGAGAGAGAGAGAGAGGGAAAGGGAGAGAAAAAAAGUAAAAUUUCAUCUCUUACUUUUUUGUCAUUGUCAUCAUUGUACCUUUUUCCUCUUUAAUACACCCUUUCUUGCUCCUUUUUUUUUCUUCGUUUU